RNAcentral lists this microRNA precursor (121 nucleotides) under Picea abies (Norway spruce). RNAcentral's name for it is "miR11426a stem-loop (pab-MIR11426a)". Lineage: Eukaryota; Viridiplantae; Streptophyta; Pinopsida; Pinales; Pinaceae. The record is from miRBase by way of RNAcentral.
UGGACAUUUUCGUGGCAUAGAACUGGAGUUUGUUGACUCAAAAUAGUUUUCAGCUUCUUGUAGGCAAAGGGGCAAAAAAUAUUUGGAGUCAACAAACUCUGGUUCUAUGCCACGGUGUUCA